Molecule: ribosomal RNA, 497 nt
Filed under: uncultured bacterium
Lineage: Bacteria
Description: partial 16S ribosomal RNA
Rfam family: Bacterial small subunit ribosomal RNA
Source: RNAcentral
GAUGAACGCUGGCGGCGUGCCUAAUACAUGCAAGUCGAGCGAACAGACGAGGAGCUUGCUCCUCUGAUGUUAGCGGCGGACGGGUGAGUAACACGUGGAUAACCUACCUAUAAGACUGGGAUAACUUCGGGAAACCGGAGCUAAUACCGGAUAAUAUAUUGAACCGCAUGGUUCAACAGUGAAAGACGGUUUUGCUGUCACUUAUAGAUGGAUCCGCGCCGCAUUAGCUAGUUGGUAAGGUAACGGCUUACCAAGGCAACGAUGCGUAGCCGACCUGAGAGGGUGAUCGGCCACACUGGAACGGAGACACGGUCCAGACUCCUACGGGAGGCAGCAGUAGGGAAUCGUCCGCAAUGGGCGAAAGCGUGACGGAGCAACGCCGCGUGAGUGAUGAAGGUCUUCGGAUCGUAAAACUCUGUUAUUAGGGAAGAACAUAUGUGUAAGUAACUGUGCACAUCUUGACGGUACCUAAUCAGAAAGCCACGGCUAACUACGUG